GAUGAACGCUAGCGACAGGCCUAACACAUGCAAGUCGAGGGGCAUCGGGACGUAGCAAUACGUUGCCGGCGACCGGCGGAUGGGUGAGUAACGCGUAUGCAACCUACCCGUAGCAGGGGGAUAGCCCGUUGAAAGACGGAUUAAUACCCCGUAACACAGGGGCUCCGCAUGGAGAUUAUUGUUAAAGGGUCAUUUCUUUUUCAGGGAUGGUCCGGCUGCGGAUGGGCAUGCGUUCCAUUAGGUAGUUGGUGUAGGUAACUGCUCACCAAGCCGACGAUGGAUAGGGGAACUGAGAGGUUGGUCCCCCACACUGGUACUGAGACACGGACCAGACUCCUACGGGAGGCAGCAGUGAGGAAUUUUGGUCAAUGGACGCAAGUCUGAACCAGCCAUGUCGCGUGAAGGAGGACGGCCCUAAGGGUUGUAAACUGCUUUUGUACGGAACGAAACGGUGAGCUCUAAUAAAGCUUGCUAAUGACGGUACCGUAAGAAUAAGCACCGGCUAACUACGUGCCAGC
RNAcentral lists this ribosomal RNA (518 nucleotides) under uncultured bacterium. RNAcentral describes it as "bacterial SSU rRNA". It matches the Rfam family "Bacterial small subunit ribosomal RNA", at positions 28 to 512 of the family's 1533-position model. The record is from RNAcentral.